RNAcentral lists this ribosomal RNA (785 nucleotides) under uncultured bacterium. Its description in RNAcentral is "bacterial SSU rRNA". It matches the Rfam family "Bacterial small subunit ribosomal RNA", at positions 62 to 814 of the family's 1533-position model. The record is from RNAcentral.
UCGAGCGAGCGGAACCAACAGAUUUACUUCGGUAAUGACGUUGGGAAAGCGAGCGGCGGAUGGGUGAGUAACACGUGGGGAACCUGCCCCUAAGUCUGGGAUACCAUUUGGAAACAGGUGCUAAUACCGGAUAAUAAAGCAGAUCGCAUGAUCAGCUUUUGAAAGGCGGCGUAAGCUGUCGCUAAGGGAUGGCCCCGCGGUGCAUUAGCUAGUUGGUAAGGUAACGGCUUACCAAGGCGACGAUGCAUAGCCGAGUUGAGAGACUGAUCGGCCACAUUGGGACUGAGACACGGCCCAAACUCCUACGGGAGGCAGCAGUAGGGAAUCUUCCACAAUGGACGCAAGUCUGAUGGAGCAACGCCGCGUGAGUGAAGAAGGUUUUCGGAUCGUAAAGCUCUGUUGUUGGUGAAGAAGGAUAGAGGUAGUAACUGGCCUUUAUUUGACGGUAAUCAACCAGAAAGUCACGGCUAACUACGUGCCAGCAGCCGCGGUAAUACGUAGGUGGCAAGCGUUGUCCGGAUUUAUUGGGCGUAAAGCGAGCGCAGGCGGAAAAAUAAGUCUAAUGUGAAAGCCCUCGGCUUAACCGAGGAACUGCAUCGGAAACUGUUUUUCUUGAGUGCAGAAGAGGAGAGUGGAACUCCAUGUGUAGCGGUGGAAUGCGUAGAUAUAUGGAAGAACACCAGUGGCGAAGGCGGCUCUCUGGUCUGCAACUGACGCUGAGGCUCGAAAGCAUGGGUAGCGAACAGGAUUAGAUACCCUGGUAGUCCAUGCCGUAAACGAUGAGU